AGCAAGGAGCAGCAAACACGACGAAGCUGCUCAAACAAUAAGUAAUUCCUGCUUUGUGAAGCUCGCGGCACGUUCGGUAUACAAAAGCUCUGCCCAGGAAAUGAUAAUUAAUAAACCAACCAAUAGUAGUGACCAAUGGUUUGUUUGCGGACAGUCAGUAGUGGUUUAUGUGGGUGACUGCUACUGUUUACCGAAAGUGGGUUUUCUGUUGAUUUUAAGCAAAAAGCGUGUAUUAGUAAGUGUAGAGCGGCAGGACCGAGUUAUUCGACUUUAAGGUUAAAUAGUAAGCGGUUAGAGUAAGACUAUGAUGUUAGCGAACGCCGGAAAUUGGUAAAAUGAACGAAAAUGUGCGAUGUAGUAUAUAAGUACCAUUAAUAUUAGAUAAGACGUAUUAUUCUUAUCAAAGCGUGUUCUAGAUUAGGUUUGUAUAGAUAUGUUUCUUAUGCGGGGUGUUGGGUGUUUUGUAAACCAGGUUACAAGUGAUAAGCGUAAUCUUAAAUCGAUAUGAGCCUCUGGCCAUGCCGCUCUCAUACUAGCUGGACGUGUUAUAAUUAUAGAGAACACGAGCACCAUCAAGCCACGGAUGCUUAAAAUUCUCUCCAUUAAAGUUUUUAUAGAACGGCGCAAAUUAAAAGGGAAACCGCCUGUGUCAAUAUAGGUACCAGGGAUUCUUAAGAUUGAAGUUUGCGUUUCCUUUGCCCUGCGGUUUGUGUUCAAUUCAAUGACUUGGAUUCGCAAACUUUUGUGUGUGCGAGUUUUUGCUUUGAGAUAAUUUUGGUAAAAUAAAGGUAUAUAAGCAAUUGUGAUAGUGUUUUUAGGAACACCCUAGUUUUAUUCGAAACAUCCGUUUAACAUAAGUUUUAAGUUAAAAUAACGCUCAAUUUUACAGAACACGUCGUAUAACCUCUUCUAUAAUCUAGUCUUCUUCAGCAUUGAUAAUCAACAUAGUUUGAAACAUCUGCUCAACAUGAGUUUAACAUCCAAUAUCUCGGCUCUAUCUUCCAAAACAUUUUUACAAGUUACUAAAACGUGGUUUUGUCCGAGAUCCUGGCUUUAGUUUCCAGCCAUAUUAACUUAUAGACCCCAUACACCAGAUGUAGCCAGUUUGUUUAAUUCGGUCGUAAAAUGGAAACUGCUUGCUCGUAAACCAACACAAGGCCGAACAUAACUCGUGCCAUGGGCUGGCCGACUUCCUGAGACUUGUAACAUCCAUUCACCCCAACAAGCCAUGUAAUAACAACACCCCCUACUGGAAGCGAACACUUACACGCCCCGCUUGCGUUCAAACGAGCGGUCAAUGUUAUUGUUGCGUAGUUUCAAAUUACUAGAAUGCAAACACACAAUUGAACAAUUUAAUAUCGAAGUUUAAACAAUGGAUGUUCUGCUAUUGGCAGGAAACGAGUUGUCUAUCCCAAAAAAUUAUCGUAAACUCGAAUUUAAAACAAUUUUAUGUUAAAAUAAUUAUAACGCAGAAUGAGAAAAAGUGUUGCUCCGCCACGUAGGAAUAAAAUGUUGCAUUUAUCUUUCAAACGCCUAUCUAUGUUUUAUAGCAUUAUCCCAUAAUUUCGGGUCCACUCAGUAUUGUGGGCAUCGCUAUUUCGAAACACGUCAAAUGCGAGGUGUAUUCUAUAUUUGGGUGGGUCCUGCAUGGAUACACACCGUGGGACGUAAGAUUUAGGUCACAGUUGAUCAAAUACUCUGACGAAUCCACUAACGCUUAUAUUUUAAGAUUAAAUACCAGUUAUGUAUAGAUUACAAUUACAUUCCUAAAGUAAAGAAUGGAAAAAUAUCAAGUCAGAUAAACGAUAUUAUGACGUAAUAGAACAAUUUCCAUCAGAAUGAAGCUAUUUAAAUGGUCCGUGGCGAUGACGUUUCGCAUGACGUCACAUCAAUCGACGCGAAUUGUCGAUGAAAUGGCGAAAAAAUUCGAAAAUUUUUAUUCAACUUUCUUUCGUGUAAGUUUCCGAAUGUUGGGUACUGUGACGUCACAGGGGCUUCAAUCGGCACGCGCGGGGGGCGGUGGGGCCAGAUAUUCUGGGUUCUUUUAUCUCGCGGCAUAGCGUGUCUAGAUAUCCGCUUUGCUUCGAGUAGCAAACCAAAUAAACACAACCCCAGCGCACGCUGUGCUUACAUACUUGGUAAACCGAAACGACCUCGAGAAAGAAAAAUAUUCUGCGGGACCUCGCGACUUCUAUCCCGGCCAAGACCAAUUAAAAUUCCCGAUCCCCGAAAUCUUCUCCUAAGCUAUAAAUACGACUCUAAUUGUUGCAGCAGGAUCAAGUUACGUUUAGCACGACAAGCUUUGGCGGAUUUCCAGCGAGAUCUUUAAAGUCUUUGAUUUCUUUAGCGCUUGGUAAUUAAAUCCAUUUAUUUUGUCCUAAUAUAAACCUGUAACCACAAAAA
Ciona intestinalis (vase tunicate) is the source of this 2403-nucleotide non-coding RNA. The record is from RefSeq and is a predicted model, not a curated record. Lineage: Eukaryota; Metazoa; Chordata; Ascidiacea; Phlebobranchia; Cionidae.